This 253-nucleotide ribosomal RNA is filed under the name uncultured bacterium. Its description in RNAcentral is "partial 16S ribosomal RNA". It matches the Rfam family "Bacterial small subunit ribosomal RNA", at positions 524 to 776 of the family's 1533-position model. The record is from RNAcentral.
UACGUAGGGGGCUAGCGUUGUCCGGAAUCAUUGGGCGUAAAGCGCGUGUAGGCGGUCCGGUAAGUCCGCUGUGAAAGUCGGGGGCUCAACCCUCGGAUGCCGGUGGAUACUGUCGGGCUUGAGUACGGAAGAGGCGAGUGGAAUUCCUGGUGUAGCGGUGAAAUGCAUAGAUAUCGUCAAGAACACCGAUAGCGAAGGCAGCUUACUGGGCUGUAACUGACGCUGAUGCACGAAAGUGUGGGGAUCAAACAGG